RNAcentral lists this ribosomal RNA (730 nucleotides) under Nosema granulosis. RNAcentral describes it as "partial small subunit ribosomal RNA". It matches the Rfam family "Microsporidia small subunit ribosomal RNA", at positions 50 to 826 of the family's 1311-position model. Lineage: Eukaryota; Fungi; Microsporidia; Nosematidae. The record is from RNAcentral.
AUGCAUGUUAUUGAAUAUAAAGAAAAGACGAACAGCUCAGUAACUCUUAUUUUAUUUGAUGUAUUAGGAUUAUAACUAUGUUAAAUUAUAGAUAACAAUAAUACAAUAAGAAUAAGAUCUAUCAGUUAGUUGUUAAGGUAAUGGCUUAACAAGACUAUGACGGAUAACGGUAUUACUUUGUAAUAUUCCGGAGAAGGAGCCUGAGAGAUUGCUACUAAGUCUAAGGAUUGCAGCAGGGGCGAAACUUGACCUAUGAUAUGAUAUUGAGGCAGUUAUGAGUAGUAUUUUUAAUUAUUGUAGUAUUGUAAGUAUAUACUACAAGAUAAAUCGGAGGGCAAAUCGAGUGCCAGCAGCCGCGGUAAUACUUGUUCCGAUAGUGUGUAUGAUGAUUGAUGCAGUUAAAAAGUCUGUAGUUUAUGAUUAAUAAGCAUUGUGAGGUAUAUUGUAUGGUUAGGAGAGAGAUGAAAUGUGAUAACCCUAACUGGAUGAACAGAAGCGAAAGCUAUAUACUUAAAUGUAUUAUUAGAACAAGGACGUAAGCUAGAGGAUCGAAGAUGAUUAGAUACCAUUGUAGUUCUAGCAGUAAACUAUGUUAAAUCAUAGAUACAUUUUAAUAUGUAUUUAUGUAAAGAAAUUAAGAUUAUAUUGACUCUGGGGAUAGUAUGAUCGCAAGAUUGAAAAUUAAAGAAAUUGACGGAAGAAUACCACAAGGAGUGGAUUGUGCGGCUUA